Molecule: transfer RNA, 77 nt
Filed under: Candidatus Omnitrophota bacterium
Lineage: Bacteria; Pseudomonadati; Candidatus Omnitrophota
Description: tRNA-Arg
Rfam family: tRNA
About the family: Transfer RNA (tRNA) molecules are approximately 80 nucleotides in length. Their secondary structure includes four short double-helical elements and three loops (D, anti-codon, and T loops). Further hydrogen bonds mediate the characteristic L-shaped molecular structure. tRNAs have two regions of fundamental functional importance: the anti-codon, which is responsible for specific mRNA codon recognition, and the 3' end, to which the tRNAs corresponding amino acid is attached (by aminoacyl-tRNA synthetases). tRNAs cope with the degeneracy of the genetic code in two manners: having more than one tRNA (with a specific anti-codon) for a particular amino acid; and 'wobble' base-pairing, i.e. permitting non-standard base-pairing at the 3rd anti-codon position.
Source: RNAcentral
GCGCCCGUAGCUCAGGUGGAUAGAGCAGUGGUUUCCUAAACCACGUGCCGCGUGUUCGAGUCACGCCGGGCGCACCA